CUUUCAGAUCUACUGUUGUAAAACUCAAGCCCUGCGCCAAAAUUUUCCAGCCCUCACAAUUCCAUUCUCAAUUCUUGGCGGUAAUUUGCGGAUGAAGAGAAUGUGUGAAAGAAAAAACACACAUAAAGACAAUGAAUGAGUCAAAUUUUCAUUUCGUGGAUAAAAGGGGAUUCAUGCAUGAUGCUGAUGCAAAUUGUUACACCCUGAAAAUUUUUAAGCUUAGACGUGAAUCACUGUAUAUAAGUGUUCAAAAUUAUGAAGGGGCACUCCAUUGAGAUCAAUUCACACUUCUUGCUAGCUUUGGUGAACCUUCCUUGCAUUCCGAAGGACUCCAUUCUUGCCUUUUAGUUUAGUAGUUUUGAGACGUCGUGGGUCUUGGUCCGACAUCAUGUUAAACUGCAUAGGCUUCAUAGAUAGUUGGUGCUGAGUUUCUGUCAAUAUCUCCUUUGAACUAUUUUCUGAAACUAUUAUUAUCUUCAAAUCAUUUUGAGUAACUAUUUGAGAUUGUUUGAGUUUGAGAA
Molecule: long non-coding RNA, 521 nt
Organism: Solanum pennellii
Lineage: Eukaryota; Viridiplantae; Streptophyta; Magnoliopsida; Solanales; Solanaceae
Exons: 3
Source: RefSeq, a predicted model, not a curated record